RNAcentral lists this unclassified non-coding RNA (1817 nucleotides) under Hevea brasiliensis (rubber tree). Lineage: Eukaryota; Viridiplantae; Streptophyta; Magnoliopsida; Malpighiales; Euphorbiaceae. The record is from RNAcentral.
UCUAAAUCAACGUAUUAAUGAUAUAAAUAUGAUUGAAAAUCAAUUAUUAAUGGAAAAUCAGAAACACCUUUUUAAAUUUAGAGAAAACUUUUGCUUAAGUUUUUUUCCAUUGACAUUUCAGACCAAAGACAACUAAAAUUAUUGUGAAAGGGAAAAGUUUUUCUUUCCUCUGUUACUGCAUGCCAAUUUUCUUCUUCCUUCAUAUUUGGAUCCUCUUCCUCCUAUAAAACACAGAUACUCUCUCUUUCCACUCUCUGCAUUUAUUUCCUUGAGUUUCUCUUCCAAAUUUCUACAGACUACCUCCUCCGUCCUCAUGGCCUGCUCAGCCAACGAGUUGGCCCAGUUUUUCGGCCCCAACAUCACCAACUCCACUGCCGCUGCCGACUUCAUCUGUUCCCGCUUCACCAUCUUCGAUAACAACUACACCGCCACCAAAUAUGCCAUUGACAGUACCUACCUCCUAUUCUCUGCCUAUCUUGUAUUCUCCAUGCAGUUAGGUUUCGCCAUGCUCUGUGCAGGCUCUGUUCGCGCCAAAAACACCAUGAACAUCAUGCUCACCAACGUUCUUGACGCUGCUGCUGGCGGCCUUUUCUAUUACCUCUUCGGUUUCGCUUUUGCCUUCGGCACCGGUGGCUCAGAGAAUGGCUUUAUUGGCAAGCACCAUUUCGGUCUCAAGACCAUCCCAUCCAAUGAUUUGGACUACAGCAACUUUCUUUACCAGUGGGCGUUUGCUAUAGCCGCAGCUGGGAUUACUAGCGGCUCCAUCGCGGAAAGAACCCAAUUUGUGGCUUAUUUAAUAUAUUCCUCCUUUUUAACUGGGUUUGUUUACCCGGUUGUUUCUCACUGGUUCUGGUCUACCGAAGGGUGGGCUUCUGCUUUGAAAACUCACAAUCCCUUGUUUAAUAGUGGAGUCAUCGAUUUCGCUGGAUCUGGGGUAGUGCAUAUGGUGGGUGGUAUUGCUGGGUUAUGGGGCGCUGUCAUUGAAGGCCCAAGAAUAGGCCGUUUUGACCAUUCCGGCAGGGCCAUUUCCUUGCGUGGACACAGCGCUUCUCUGGUGGUUCUCGGUACUUUCUUGCUCUGGUUUGGAUGGUAUGGGUUCAAUCCUGGGUCUUUCAACAAAAUCUUGGUGGUUUACACCGAUGGGAGCUAUAAUGGUCAAUGGAGUGCAGUUGGUCGAACCGCCGUUACCACCACCCUAGCAGGUUGCACUGCAGCUUUGACCACUCUUUUUGGGAAAAGAAUUUUAUCUGGCCAUUGGAAUGUAACAGAUGUGUGCAAUGGCUUGCUUGGUGGUUUCGCUGCCAUUACUGCUGGGUGCUCCGUUGUUGAUCCAUGGGCUGCAAUAAUCUGCGGGUUCGUUGCUGCUUUGGUAUUAAUUGGCUGCAACAAGUUAGCUGAGAAGUUAAAAUAUGAUGACCCACUAGAGGCUGCCCAGCUUCACGGUGGUUGUGGCGCUUGGGGAGUGAUCUUCACCGCUUUGUUUGCCAGAAAGAAGUAUGUGGAUCAGAUUUACAAGCCGGGUCGACCUUACGGGUUGUUCAUGGGUGGUGAUGGAAGGCUCUUGGCUGCUCAUCUCAUACAGAUUCUUGUUAUCACGGGGUGGGUCAGUGCCACGAUGGGUCCACUGUUUUAUAUUCUUCACAAGCUUAAGCUUUUAAGAAUCUCAGCUGAUGAUGAGAUGGCGGGUAUGGAUCUGACCCGGCAUGGUGGGUUCGCUUACAUUUACCAUGAUGAAGAUGAGUUCUCAAAGCCUGGAAUCAAGUUAAGGAACAUUGAACCCUCAGCCACAACUUCUAAUUCAUCAGACGUUUAGAACU